UUAAAUUGAAGAGUUUGAUCAUGGCUCAGAUUGAACGCUGGCGGCAGGCCUAACACAUGCAAGUCGAGCGGAAACGAGUUAUYWGAACCUUCGGGGRACGAUAACGGCGUCGAGCGGCGGACGGGUGAGUAAUGC
RNAcentral lists this ribosomal RNA (135 nucleotides) under Vibrio parahaemolyticus. RNAcentral's name for it is "partial 16S ribosomal RNA". It matches the Rfam family "Bacterial small subunit ribosomal RNA", at positions 1 to 116 of the family's 1533-position model. The record is from RNAcentral. Lineage: Bacteria; Pseudomonadati; Pseudomonadota; Gammaproteobacteria; Vibrionales; Vibrionaceae.